Long non-coding RNA from Ctenopharyngodon idella (grass carp), 5860 nucleotides. RefSeq lists it as uncharacterized. Lineage: Eukaryota; Metazoa; Chordata; Actinopteri; Cypriniformes; Xenocyprididae. The transcript has 6 exons. The record is from RefSeq and is a predicted model, not a curated record.
CAAAUGAGCGAGCAAAGAUGAGCAUAUAUGCAGAUUGAUCUCUAAAAGUGUUUUAUUUUUCUUCUUCUCACUAACAUUUAGAUAUUUAAAUCGAAUGAAAACCCAUGCAACAACAUAAAGAACUAGUAUAUAUGUAGAACCAUAUAUCGCCGUCAGUUUCUACUACAGUUAAAGGAACACUCCACUUUUUUUUGAAAAUAGGCUCAUUUUCCAACUCCCCUAGAGUUAAACAGUUGAGUUUUACCGUUUUCGAAUCCAUUCAGCCGAUCUCCGGGUCUGGCGGUACCACUUUUAGCAUAGCUUAGCAUAGUUCAUUGAAUCUGAUUAGACCGUUAGCAUCUCGCUCAAAAAUGACCAAAGAGUUUCGAUAUUUUUCCUAUUUAAAACUUGACUCUUCUGUAGUUACAUCGUGUACUAAGCAAAGUUCCUUGAUUAUUAUGCCGGAAUGAGAGUAUAAUUCCUAGCCAUAUCAGCCUAGAAAAUCGCAACUUUUCAUUUUCCGUCGGUCUUAGUACACGAUGUAACUACAGAAGAGUCAAGUUUUAAAUAGGAAAAAUAUUGAAACUCUUUGGUCAUUUUUGAGCGAGAUGCUAACGGUCUAAUCAGAUUCAAUGAACUAUGCUAAGCUAUGCUAAAAGUGGUACCGCCAGACCCGGAGAUCGGCUGAAUGGAUUCGAAAACGGUAAAACUCAACUGUUUAACUCUAGGGGAGUUGGAGCCUAUUUUCAAAAAAAGUGGAGUGUUCCUUUAACACUUUCUCUGACAGGCGGAUGCAAUGUGACGUUCGGCAUAAAGCUUAUAUGGAUUAUUAACUACAGGUCAAAACGACACACUGACUGCAAUAUUGUAUAAUUUGUAGAAGCAAAAACAUAUUUAGUUACUUCACAGAAGUAAAAUGACACUAUGGGUCUGAUCAUUGUGCUGUAAGAGUUAGAUAUUUAUACCUAUGGCCACAAUAAUACAGGCAUGAUAUUAAUAGCCAGAACAUAUUAUCUUACUUUCAGAUAUUUUUACCCUGAAAUGUGAUGAAAUAAAUGUAGGGGCUCAGUAACUUGAAAAGUACAUCAUUAUUUUUCUAAAUCAAUUAAUUACUCAAUUAUUUAAAUCAGUUAACUUUCCUUUCCAAUGAGAAUGAAACACACUCUGCAAUCUUCAAAGAUUGUUUCAUGCAGCAGAAAAGUUGUACUUGUAGAGUAUCACUCCAUCAUUUGUUGUUUGCUUCUAGGUCAUGCUUUCAUUUUCUUACUAGAAUGCACUUUGAAAUCUGUUUAAAGACAACAAUGUCGCCACCGUGAUUUAUGGCUUGAUUUGAAGCAGGAAGGGGGGAGUCAGUGUGACAUCAGAGAUUACCCAUAAGUCCAUUUCCAGAAACAUUAUGCAGUCUAGAACCUGAUGGAGAUAUGAUGAUGUCACGGGAAUAAACCAUAAACUUUACAUUGUAAUAAAAUAUUUAAAAAAAUAAACAUUUCAUGUCAUUUUUAAUGAGAAAAAUGUUUUCUACUGGAUAUUACAACAUUGUCUUUGCAUUAAUGUCUUGGAUCGUAAAUGAAUUUGCAUAUUUAAUUACUAUGCACAAAUACACUAUACACGAAACAAUAAUUGAUGUAAUUAAACAUUUGAGUUUUUUAUGUUGCUUAAAAUGAUGUUACAUCAACCAGCAGGGACUAAAUGUCUCAUGCCAAACAUUUACUCCUUGAGUUGUGGGCGGGGCUACAUGUUUGUCUGACCAAUAAGCAGAAGGGGGAGUGUUUGAGAAACCUGUUUGGUAAGAGUCAUUGCAGUUCCAUUAAUGGUGCAGAAAUAAAACACCGCACCUUUAUAUAAUUUAUAAAACUAAUCUGUAUAUUUCUUUCCCACCAUCACCCUUUGGGGAGAGAAGUCUUUAAUGUUUGCAGUCUGUUUGAUAUCCCGCUUCUGUUUCUUUCCGCAGCAUUGCGUUGACUAGCUAGUUAAUUGAGAGCCUCCCGAGACCCCUGCUAGUUUGAGAAGAACCAAAUGAAAUGGGAUUGUUGUCUUGGGAACAACAGAGGAGAUGGGAAGACCCCGGGGGAGAAGCAUUGAAGAGCGGAGGCCAGGCAGGCCAUGACAGGUAAACAACAGUGGUCCCCCCUCUCUCAACCUCUCUUGGGCUGAUCCUGUCCAGUAACUAUUGGGGUGAAACUAAGGAAGGGGCAAAUGGGAUGUUUUAAAUGUGGAGUUGAAAGGGCAGUGCAUUGGAACCUGGUAAACAGACUGUGAAAGUCUUCUAAAUCCACUUUCCAAAUGUUUUUUCCCUUUUUAAAGACUUGUUUUUAUUUCCUUUAAGGUAAUGCACCACUGGUGAAUAGGGUAAAAAUGUACCUAAUCACCAUACUUUUCUUCAGGUGAUUAAUCACAGUACAUUAAGACAACUGUUUUGUAUUACAAGUUUUCUAAAAUGUUAUGUUUAAUAUGCAAACUAUACAUUAUCUAAUUAACUUAAAUUUUUCAUAAUUGUCCAGAACAGAAAUCUGAACACUGCAUAAAGCCAGGUUCAAAAUUAAUUUAAUUUUGUUGACAUAUUAGAGAUUUUGAAUGUCUCUUUUUAUCACUUCAACCAAAAAACAAACCUUUUAUUGUUUGUAAUUGAAGAUGCAAAUAGAUAAAGUGUAAUAAAAUACAAACUUAAAUGUGUAUUUUGGGUGUUUUCUUCCCACUUGUCUCAAAAAGAGACUGGUUAUGGAGCGCAAAAUAGACCAAAAUCUCAAAAUUGACUAGUGCAUGACAAAAAAAAACAAUGGUUUUGCCUGUCACCUUAAUAUAUCUAAUAUAGACAAGAGCUUUGUAUUCUUCUCAUAUUCUCUCAAAAACCUAAUUGGAAAUGUUCUAUACUGUUAAUUUUAUGCAAAAGCUUGAUUAGAGCCUUGGGCUCUCAUCACACAGGUCAAUUAAUAGGAAGUCAAUGCAUGUUAACACAAUGCAUGUUUUUCAAUGUCAUUUGCCUUGAUUUCAAGGUGUCUCCCAUGUCUUCUGACCUCCACCAAGUGAAACGCUGAACCUUAACCCCCAGUAACAGAGAUUCCCUGUUGGAUUUGUGUUCCACAACAGGAUGAAUCCUUGUUACUGAGAGCAAGAGGUCAGAUGUUCUGCUGGACCUCUGAAGACAACAGUGCCACUCGCCGCCAUUCUGAAAACAACACAAGAAAACAUUACAUUAAUCGUAUAUAUAGGGAUGAAGCACGACGUGCAUCAUUAAAGCCUCUGUGUCGGUAUGCGGCGGUCGUCCCUUGUGACACAGUCGAUGGCAGCUAACAAAGCGGGGUUAAACAGAUUGAGUAAAGUGUCUGCCUCUCGACGCCUGAUUGUUUGACCUUAACUCCUGUUGUUCUCCCAACCCCCUGUGUUUCUGUGUUUGGGGAAGGAAACUUAAAUCAGCAAUUAACAUAAAUAAUUAACUACUCCCUGGGAUUAAUUAUUAAUGUGUCGGAGGAGUGAUUGCUCCCGCUUAAGACAGAGAUAACACCUCUAGAGCCCAGAAAAACUCAUGACAUACUUUGUUGGCACUUCCAACUUUUAGUUUGAGAACUCGUUCCCUUUUAAGGAUGCUUUAUUCUGCCCAAAGGAAAGCAAAUUCUUUAGCGUUACUUUAUUAUUAUUUAUAUACUAUUAUAGUAAUAUUUUGGAUGAGCUUCUAUUUUUAUGUUUUGAUUUUAAUUUAAAUUUUGGUAAUUUUGUUAUGUGCUUUGUCAUUUUUAUUUAUUUCUUUUUUUAAAUAUUUCUAUUCACCUUUAGUUUUCAUUUUUAAUGUUUAUUUAAUUAUUUUUAUUACUUUAAACAUAUUCCUGAAUUUUUUUCAGUUAGUUGCCAGUGCAACAUUUCUAAUUUCUGUUUACGUUUUUCAUCUAAUAUUAAUCUAAUUAUUUCAAUAGUUAAUAGUUUUAGUUAAUAAUAACACUGGUCCUACACUAAAAAAUGCUGGGUUGAAAAUGGACAAACCGGUUGGGUUGGGUUGGGUUGUUUUGACCCAGCGGUUGGGUUAAAUGUUUGCCUAACAUGCUGGGUAGUUUUAUUUAACUCAGCUACUAAAUGACUAUAUGGCUGGCUUAAAAUGAACCCAAAAUGAACCCAAAAUGUUGGAAAAUAAAAAUCAGACACAUAAUUACUAGAGGAAACAAUAAUAAUCAAAAGGUGAACAUUUAUUAAUAAUAAAUGUUUUUGUUUAAUUAUUAUUUAUUAAACUUAUUAAUAAAUGUUCAUUUCCAACAUACUUUGGGUUCAUUUUAAGCAAGCAAUACAGUAAUUUUUAAACAAUAGUUGAGUUAAAUAAACUACCCAGCAGGUUGGGCAAACAUUUAACCCAACCGCUGGGUUAAAACAACCCAGUCACUGGGUUUGUCCAUUUCCAAACCAACUUGAAUUGUUUUUAACCCAGCAUUUUUUAGGGUGUAGACAUUAAUGCGAUUAAAUGGAGACUUUUGCAUCCAAUGUUUUUCUUUUGCAUGAAAUAUUGUUUGUCUACAGAGUUUCAACAACAUUGUGAUGCUCAGAUCUCAUUAUGAACUCCAUCUUUUCUUAUCAAGUUCUUCCAAGAGCAAGUGGUCAGAGCUGAUGUCCAUUUUAAUUUUAUAGCUCAAAACUCUUACUGUAUGACUAUUUUUAUUCCCCCAGAAUAAACAUAACUGGUAGUUUUUGGUCUCCAUUUGCUCUCCAUUUAAUCUCAUUGCUGUAUAGAACAAAGUUAUUGAGACGUUGAAGAGGUCUCAUUUACUCUCUGCAUUUUCUUUCGCUAGUCUUGAAUUCUUGUCCUCUUGUCUGUAAUUCUGUCUUUACACCUUUAUCUACUCUGAUGCCCCUUUCUCUGUUUGUGUACUGUAUCAUGUUGCCGAGACUCGGCUCGUUAAUUGCUCGGUAAUUACAAUGCUUCUGUUGAUCUGUUCAUUUCACAGCGCUGCUACAAACCUUUUAGGCUGUCUGCUCGAAGCUCAGACUCUAUUGGAUUUGGCUCAUGUGCCCCGUCUAACGCUUUGAGAGCUGCACUAAUGUGCUGUCAGCCGUUCCACAUGCACUUCCUCUGUCGUGAUGCGCUCUCCUGCUGGACAACUGUUGCGUCCGCCUAAUUUGACCAGGACCCAGACGAGGGCUCCGACGCAAGUAACUGAGCACCUGCUGGUAUCAUCCUCGUCUUCAAUGUUAGCCACAGCCUCUGGACUCCAAACUCUGAACACUGCUUAUCUUUACAGCUGCUAAUACUGGCUGAGGAAUCCAGUGAUGGGACCAGCCUGUGUUAACCAUUAACACCCCAACUUGCACCUUUUUCAUCCUGGUGGUGUAUAGCAUGACCUAGAUGAGGAGAACGAAGGAGAAGAAGAGGAAAUUGGACGGAUCAGGUCAAGAUGAGAGCCAGAUUUGAGUCGUUUGUAAAGGCACUAGAAAGAGAAGAAAUGGGAUUAGAACAUCAUGCAAGCCAGAUUCGAACUCAUGUUCCCAAGAGCACCUGCAUGACCCACUGCACCACAGCUCAAAACAUCAGGAAUGGAUGAAUUGUGUGCUACUGUGGGCAGUUCGACCACAACCACAAGCAUUUUCUGUGAGCCAAUCAAUGUGGAGAAGAAAGAAGAGCCGCCUCCUUCUGCCAAUGACAAGAUGGGCGGCAGUGACCAGUGCCAAGCCAAUAGGGAAUCGAUACAACGCAAAACCUGACAUCAAUCCCAGAAAACCUGCAAGAUGAUCAGACGCACAGAGAGGAACACACACUCCAUCAUCGUCUUAAUAGUCUUACUGGAGGUCAGUAAGUUUUAUCGUAGCCCAGCUUUCCGCAUCACACAUGUCCCUUCUAACUCAACGUGGACCAUUGGAGGGUCAUAUAUACUAAUGUUCUGUUGCCCAGAAAGUGCUUUUUAAA